GACGAACGCUGGCGGCGUGCUUAACACAUGCAAGUCGAACGGAAAGGCCCUGCUUUUGUGGGGUGCUCGAGUGGCGAACGGGUGAGUAACACGUGAGUAACCUGCCCUUGACUUUGGGAUAACUUCAGGAAACUGGGGCUAAUACCGGAUAGGAGCUCCUGCUGCAUGGUGGGGGUUGGAAAGUUUCGGCGGUUGGGGAUGGACUCGCGGCUUAUCAGCUUGUUGGUGGGGUAGUGGCUUACCAAGGCUUUGACGGGUAGCCGGCCUGAGAGGGUGACCGGCCACAUUGGGACUGAGAUACGGCCCAGACGCCUACGGGAGGCAGCAGUGGUGAAUAGUGCACAAUGGGCGGAAGCCUGAUGCAGCAACGCCGCGUGCGGGAUGACGGCCUUCGGGUUGUAAACCGCUUUCGCCUGUGACGAAGCGUGUGUGACGGUAAUGGGUAAAGAAGCACCGGCUAACUACGUG
This 468-nucleotide ribosomal RNA is filed under the name uncultured bacterium. RNAcentral describes it as "partial 16S ribosomal RNA". It matches the Rfam family "Bacterial small subunit ribosomal RNA", at positions 28 to 507 of the family's 1533-position model. The record is from RNAcentral.